Molecule: microRNA precursor, 80 nt
Filed under: Tupaia belangeri chinensis (Chinese tree shrew)
Lineage: Eukaryota; Metazoa; Chordata; Mammalia; Scandentia; Tupaiidae
Description: Tupaia chinensis (Chinese tree shrew) microRNA tch-mir-98 precursor
Gene: tch-mir-98
Rfam family: let-7 microRNA precursor family
About the family: This family represents the microRNAs (miRNA) let-7 and mir-98. let-7 was identified from a study of developmental timing in C. elegans, and was later shown to be part of a much larger class of non-coding RNAs termed miRNAs.
Source: miRBase by way of RNAcentral
UGAGGUAGUAAGUUGUAUUGUUGUGGGGUUGGGAUUGUAGACCCCAAUUAGAAGAUAACUAUACAACUUACUACUUUCCC